CGGCUGCCUCCCUUUCCCUCAGCCUCCCGGGAGCGUGACGCGGCGGCCGGGGGGCCUCCGGGCGCCUUCCGAGGCACGCGGACUGUAAUUGUUCCCUCCCAGGAUCGACAUGCACUUGGAUCACUGCAGUUCCUGGGCCUGCUGUCAUAUCUCCCUUCAGUACUUCCCACAUAUGACUACCAACUGUUAGACGAUGUGCUGCCAGACCAGCAUUUCAUUUCUUGGACAUCCGGCUAUUUACCCAGGAAAAGUCAUCCUUUGACUUUUCUCAUCUGACUCGUGAUCUGCCCAUCUUGUUAACUCCCUAGCAGUGUGGUAAGACACUUUUCCUUGACCUUCUCCGCCAUGUUUUGAUGCAGCACGAAA
Molecule: long non-coding RNA, 366 nt
Organism: Rhinopithecus roxellana (golden snub-nosed monkey)
Lineage: Eukaryota; Metazoa; Chordata; Mammalia; Primates; Cercopithecidae
Exons: 3
Source: RefSeq, a predicted model, not a curated record